This 620-nucleotide long non-coding RNA is filed under the name Pan troglodytes (chimpanzee). RNAcentral's name for it is "long non-coding RNA NONPTRT001648". Lineage: Eukaryota; Metazoa; Chordata; Mammalia; Primates; Hominidae. The record is from RNAcentral.
UUUGGAAUACUGUGUUUUGUCCAUCCCAGCCUUCACCAGGCGGAUUUCAUCUCCCACACAGUUAGUGAUUUAUGGCAGAAAGGAAGCUGGAGGGAUGGGGACUGCAGCUUAGCUGUGAGGGCCGGAAGGGAGCGGUUUUGUGCUGCACACAGGCAGGUCAGCACUCCCAGAGCAGGGACCGCCAGGCGUGCUUUCGGAACCGCUUUUGUCUUUCAAAUGAACGCCCAGCGCCAGCAGACGGGAGUUCCAGGACCUUAGAGACCGGCUAAUGCUUCUCUUUAAGGUAGAUCAUUGGCCGGAGACAGGAUAUGUGAAGAAACUUCAGAGAAGGGACAAUACCUUCUAUUACUACAACAAACAGAGGGAAUGUGAUGACAAGGAAGUCCACAAAGUGAAAAUUUAUGCUUACUAGCCUGUCUUCUUUGUAUUACUUGUCAAUUAUAUUUUAAGAAUUCAUCAUUUCCUUCUACAUCGUGUGUUUGUCAUUUGAUGAAAUAAUUCAAGAUGCAGUCUGCAGUUUAAUGUUUUGUGAAACACAAAAGCCGUGAGAAUUGGUAUCUGCUAAUCAACUUGUCCUGUUCUAAGAACUGGCUGCAGAUGCAUUAAAGUUGUACUUUCUU